GUGGGGAAUAUUGGACAAUGGGGGGAACCCUGAUCCAGCCAUGCCGCGUGUGUGAAGAAGGCCUUUUGGUUGUAAAGCACUUUAAGCGAGGAGGAGGCUACCGAGAUUAAUACUCUUGGAUAGUGGACGUUACUCGCAGAAUAAGCACCGGCUAACUAUGUGCCAGCAGCCGCGGUAAUACAGAGGGUGCAAGCGUUAAUCGGAUUUACUGGGCGUAAAGCGCGCGUAGGUGGCCAAUUAAGUCAAAUGUGAAAUCCACGAGCUUAACUUGGGAUUUGCAUUCGAUACUGGUUGGCUAAAGUAUGGAAGAGGAUGGUAGAAUUCCAGGUGUAGCGGUGAAAUGCGAAGAGAUCUGGAGGAAUACCGAUGGCGAAGGCAGCCAUCUGGCCUAAUACUGACACUGAGGUGCGAAAGCAUGGGGAGCAAACAGGAUUAGAUACCCUGGUAGUCC
Molecule: ribosomal RNA, 451 nt
Filed under: uncultured bacterium
Lineage: Bacteria
Description: partial 16S ribosomal RNA
Rfam family: Bacterial small subunit ribosomal RNA
Source: RNAcentral